ACCAAUAGACACUUCUUUCGGAAC
RNAcentral lists this small nuclear RNA (24 nucleotides) under Arabidopsis thaliana (thale cress). RNAcentral describes it as "snRNA_18053". The record is from RNAcentral. Lineage: Eukaryota; Viridiplantae; Streptophyta; Magnoliopsida; Brassicales; Brassicaceae.